AUGAACGCUGGCGGCGUGCCUCAUACAUGCCAGUCGCGCGAACAGACGAGGAGCUUGCUCCUCUGACGUUAGCGGCGGACGGGUGAGUAACACGUGGAUAACCUACCUAUAAGACUGGGAUAACUUCGGGAAACCGGAGCUAAUACCGGAUAAUAUAUUGAACCGCAUGGUUCAAUAGUGAAAGACGGUUUUGCUGUCACUUAUAGAUGGAUCCGCGCCGCAUUAGCUAGUUGGUAAGGUAACGGCUUACCAAGGCGACGAUGCGUAGCCGACCUGAGAGGGUGAUCGGCCACACUGGAACUGAGACACGGUCCAGACUCCUACGGGAGGCAGCAGUAGGGAAUCUUCCGCAAUGGGCGAAAGCCUGACGGAGCAACGCCGCGUGAGUGAUGAAGGUCUUCGGAUCGUAAAACUCUGUUAUUAGGGAAGAACAAAUGUGUAAGUAACUAUGCACGUCUUGACGGUACCUAAUCAGAAAGCCACGGCUAACUACGUG
RNAcentral lists this ribosomal RNA (496 nucleotides) under uncultured bacterium. Its description in RNAcentral is "partial 16S ribosomal RNA". It matches the Rfam family "Bacterial small subunit ribosomal RNA", at positions 29 to 507 of the family's 1533-position model. The record is from RNAcentral.